GUACACUCCUACGGGAGGCAGCAGUGGGGAAUUUUGGACAAUGGGCGAAAGCCUGAUCCAGCAAUGCCGCGUGAGUGAAGAAGGCCUUCGGGUUGUAAAGCUCUUUUGUCAGGGAAGAAACGGUGAAAGCUAAUAUCUUUUGCUAAUGACGGUACCUGAAGAAUAAGCACCGGCUAACUACGUGCCCGCAGCCGCGGUAAUACGUAGGGUGCAAGCGUUAAUCGGAAUUACUGGGCGUAAAGCGUGCGCAGGCGGUUUUGUAAGUCUGAUGUGAAAUCCCCGGGCUCAACCUGGGAAUUGCAUUGGAGACUGCAAGGCUAGAAUCUGGCAGAGGGGGGUAGAAUUCCACGUGUAGCAGUGAAAUGCGUAGAUAUGUGGAGGAACACCGAUGGCGAAGGCAGCCCCCUGGGUCAAGAUUGACGCUCAUGCACGAAAGCGUGGGGAGCAAACAGGAUUAGAUACCCGAGUAGUCCCA
This 475-nucleotide ribosomal RNA is filed under the name uncultured organism. RNAcentral describes it as "partial 16S ribosomal RNA". It matches the Rfam family "Bacterial small subunit ribosomal RNA", at positions 331 to 797 of the family's 1533-position model. The record is from RNAcentral.